CGGGACGGGUGAGUAAUGUCUGGGAAACUAGCCUGAUGGAGGGGGAUAACUACUGGAAACGGUAGCUAAUACCGCAUAACGUCGCAAGACCAAAAGAAGGGGGGACCUCGGGGCCUCUUGCCAUCGGAUGUGCCCAGAUGGGAUUAGCUAGUAGGUGGGGUAACGGCUCACCUAGGCGACGAUCCCUAGCUGGUCUGAGAGGAUGACCAGCCACACUGGAACUGAGACACGGUCCAG
Molecule: ribosomal RNA, 237 nt
Filed under: uncultured bacterium
Lineage: Bacteria
Description: partial 16S ribosomal RNA
Rfam family: Bacterial small subunit ribosomal RNA
Source: RNAcentral